CAGUCGCCACGGUAAAACAGAGGGUGCGAGCGUUAAUCGGAUUUACUGGGCGUAAAGCGUGCGUAGGCGGCUUUUUAAGUCGGAUGUGAAAUCCCUGAGCUUAACUUAGGAAUUGCAUUCGAUACUGGGAAGCUAGAGUAUGGGAGAGGAUGGUAGAAUUCCAGGUGUAGCGGUGAAAUGCGUAGAGAUCUGGAGGAAUACCGAUGGCGAAGGCAGCCAUCUGGCCUAAUACUGACGCUGAGGUACGAAAGCAUGGGGAGCAAACAGGAUUAGAUACCCCGGUAGUCCCUGUCUCUUAUAU
Molecule: ribosomal RNA, 301 nt
Filed under: uncultured bacterium
Lineage: Bacteria
Description: partial 16S ribosomal RNA
Rfam family: Bacterial small subunit ribosomal RNA
Source: RNAcentral